RNAcentral lists this ribosomal RNA (206 nucleotides) under uncultured bacterium. Its description in RNAcentral is "partial 16S ribosomal RNA". It matches the Rfam family "Bacterial small subunit ribosomal RNA", at positions 568 to 774 of the family's 1533-position model. The record is from RNAcentral.
UGCGUAGGCGGGUUUCUAAGUCAGAGGUGAAAGCCUGGAGCUCAACUCCAGAACUGCCUUUGAUACUGGAAGUCUUGAGUUCGGGAGGGGUGAGUGGAACUGCGAGUGUAGAGGUGAAAUUCGUAGAUAUUCGCAAGAACACCAGUGGCGAAGGCGGCUCACUGGCCCGAUACUGACGCUGAGGCACGAAAGCGUGGGAGCAAACA